This 424-nucleotide ribosomal RNA is filed under the name uncultured cyanobacterium. RNAcentral describes it as "bacterial SSU rRNA". It matches the Rfam family "Bacterial small subunit ribosomal RNA", at positions 355 to 794 of the family's 1533-position model. The record is from RNAcentral. Lineage: Bacteria; Bacillati; Cyanobacteriota.
UGGGGAAUUUUCCGCAAUGGGCGAAAGCCUGACGGAGCAAUACCGCGUGAGGGAUGAAAGCCUGUGGGUUGUAAACCUCUUUUCUCAAGGAAGAAGUUCUGACGGUACUUGAGGAAUAAGCAUCGGCUAACUCUGUGCCAGCAGCCGCGGUAAUACAGAGGAUGCAAGCGUUAUCCGGAAUCACUGGGCAUAAAGCGUCUGUAGGUGGUUUAGUAAGUCUGUUGUUAAAGACUAGGGCUUAACCCUAGGAAAGCAAUGGAAACUACUAGACUUGAGUAUGGUAGAGGUAGAGGGAAUUCCUAGUGUAGCGGUGAAAUGCGUAGAUAUUAGGAAGAACACCAAUGGCGAAAGCACUCUACUGGGCCAUAACUGACACUGAGGGACGACAGCUAGGGGAGCAAAUGGGAUUAGAUACCCCAGUAGU